Molecule: ribosomal RNA, 365 nt
Filed under: uncultured bacterium
Lineage: Bacteria
Description: bacterial SSU rRNA
Rfam family: Bacterial small subunit ribosomal RNA
Source: RNAcentral
AACGAACGCUGGCGGCGUGCCUAACACAUGCAAGUCGCGCGAGAAAAGGGGGGCAACUCCCUGAGUAAAGCGGCGCACGGGUGAGUAACACGUAGGUAAUCUACCCUCGAGUCCAGGAUAACCCGCCGAAAGGUGGACUAAUACCGGAUAUGACCACGGGAGUUUCGGCUCCUGCGGUGAAAGGUGGCCUCUGCUUGCAAGCUACCGCUCGGAGAUGAGCCUGCGGGCCAUUAGCAGUUGGUGAGGUAACGGCUCACCAAGGCGAUGAUGGCUAGCUGGUCUGAGAGGAUGGCCAGCCACACUGGGACUGAAACACGGCCCAGACUCCUACGGAGGCAGCAGUGGGGGAUAUUGCGCAAUGGGCG